Molecule: long non-coding RNA, 1135 nt
Organism: Chelonia mydas (Green sea turtle)
Lineage: Eukaryota; Metazoa; Chordata; Testudines; Cheloniidae
Exons: 3
Source: RefSeq, a predicted model, not a curated record
AUCUAAGGAUGAAAGAAAAGCACAUACAUUGAUUAGAAGACUACCUUCAAUGCCAAGCUGGAGUUAAUCAUGCAAGCAAGAACAUUUUAAAAAAAGCUUAUUUUUCAUUCAGCUCUCACAUUGGUAUCGCAUUACAACAUAUGCAGUAAAAAAACUAGACAUAAUGUGACUUUCAAUGGGAAUUAGGUAUCUAAACUGUUCUUUGUGACUUUGAAAUUCUCCCCAUAAAUACAUGUUUAACUAGUAUACCAAUAAGAAAUACACUUACCAAACAUUUCUGCUGUUUUACUGAGUGCCUCUUUGUUUACAGUGUAAGUAAAUCCAUUGGUCCUAAAUAUGGAGAAAAAAAAACACAGUAAUAGGCUGUUAUUCUUUUGGGAUGGAAAAAUGAAUAUUUAAGAAAAGGAUACUACUUCAAGUUAUUUGGAGCAAAUAAUAUUUUCAUUAUUCUUCCUCCAUCAAUUUUACCCACAUAAUCAGCUUUGAAAGAUCUGCUGACACAUCACAGAUGCUCUUUGAAAAAGCCAUACUACAGAGGGAUAGGUGCUGCAGAAAGGAUGAUACCACAAUAGCAACAGUACCUCGCACUGACAUAUUCAAAGUGCUCUACAAGUCUUAACUAAUUCAUCCUCACAACACCCCAGUGAUGUAGGAAAGCAUCCCUAUUUUACACUAGCGUCCCCACCAGAAGUAGUCUGUUGGCAGUCUUGAUUGAAAUCUGAGUGUUUGAGCUAGAAGGUCACGCAAUCAAAGAACUAAGAUAGUACACAACUAAGAUCACAGAACAAAGACCGAAUAUUCACAAUAAAUUGGAUACAUCAUUUGGUCAACUGUGACUAGUAUGCGCACAAAAGCUGCCAAGGCAUUUUUCUGCAAGUCAGAAGACAAAACUUCAUAACAUGGAGUGCUUCCUACAGAGAAAGCAUAGGGGGCAAUUAAAAGUCCAUUAAUUAUUCAUCAAACUAUUACACGUGUAAGGAAUCACAGCACCAACAUCAUCAUACAAAGCAAACAUACCUGUCUCAAGAAGCUGAAAAGCAAAGUUACGGAUUCCAAGUAUAAACUGCUUCUCGGUAAAGGCCUCUUUCAUUUCUUUUGAAAGAUAUCUGCCGAUUAUCUAAAAAAUAAAAGUUUU